CCACCGAGCUGGGAGAAUCGAUCGGACCACCAACAGAUUACUUCGACAUUAACUUGCUGGUGAUAGUGUGCAGUUCCAUCUUACUGUUGGUGUGUUUAGUGACUUGCAUCUACAUUCUUGUAAAACGACACAACCACCAGAGACUAACGGAAUACAGAAACUCACUAACUGGUGAAUGUAAAUCAGAACGCAGUAACGCAACAGUGAACACACCACAAAGCAUUCCAACCGAAGUCAACAACAGAGUUUACAGCACUCCUGUACAUUUGGCAGCAGAUAAUAAACACGAAUUAUAUGAAAUCAGUCCAUAUGCACAGUUCGCGAUUGGGUUCCGGACAUUCGGUCACGUUGAUAACCAAGAAGCACCGCGACGAGGGAAGAGAUAUGACAGUGAAACGAGUUUUCAAAUGCGAUCAGAAUCAGAAGAGAGCGAUUGUGUUUCACGCACAACUACAUUGAAAAGCGCACCAAGAAAAACCUGCAGAGUACCCCAUCACAGGUAGCCAUCGAAUUGAAAAUCGCGCUACAAAUUACGGAUUGUUCUUGAAAUAGUUGGGCUAAUUUAUAAACUUAUAAUUUGUGAUUAUGUAGGUUACCAUUGAGGUUAAUUGAUGCAAAAAAACGUUAGCUGAC
This 633-nucleotide unclassified non-coding RNA is filed under the name Melitaea cinxia (Glanville fritillary). Its description in RNAcentral is "misc RNA ENSMCXG00005001305.1". The record is from RNAcentral. Lineage: Eukaryota; Metazoa; Arthropoda; Insecta; Lepidoptera; Nymphalidae.